UGGGGAAUAUUGCACAAUGGGCGCAAGCCAGAUGCAGCCAUGCCGCGUGUAUGAAGAAGGCCUUCGGGUUGUAAAGUACUUUCAGCGGGGAGGAAGGGAGUAAAGUUAAUACCUUUGCUCAUUGACGUUACCCGCAGAAGAAGCACCGGCUAACUCCGUGCCAGCAGCCGCGGUAAUACGGAGGGUGCAAGCGUUAAUCGGAAUUACUGGGCGUAAAGCGCACGCAGGCGGUUUGUUAAGUCAGAUGUGAAAUCCCCGGGCUCAACCUGGGAACUGCAUCUGAUACUGGUAAGCUUGAGUCUCGUAGAGGGGGGUAGAAUUCCAGGUGUAGCGGUGAAAUGCGUAGAGAUCUGGAGGAAUACCGGUGGCGAAGGCGGCCCCCUGGACGAAGACUGACGCUCAGGUGCGAAAGCGUGGGGAGCAAACA
RNAcentral lists this ribosomal RNA (427 nucleotides) under uncultured bacterium. Its description in RNAcentral is "partial 16S ribosomal RNA". It matches the Rfam family "Bacterial small subunit ribosomal RNA", at positions 355 to 774 of the family's 1533-position model. The record is from RNAcentral.